Trifolium pratense (red clover) is the source of this 6296-nucleotide long non-coding RNA. RefSeq lists it as uncharacterized. NCBI's taxonomy places the organism in Eukaryota, Viridiplantae, Streptophyta, Magnoliopsida, Fabales, Fabaceae. The transcript has 25 exons. The record is from RefSeq and is a predicted model, not a curated record.
UGUCAUCCUCUAAGAUAGUCCACAUUGGAUUUGAAGUUUCAUGUCUAGACAAAAUUUUAACCUCAUUUAGGCAAUGUUUUCAAAUUUGAUAAUGGAGGGAAAAAAUGAUGAACAAAUGAUCAAAGGGCCAGCAAACUGGAUCGAAAAUGCAAGGCCCGGUCCAAAAAGCCCACAUGGAUGGCAAGCAAACAAAAUCUGGUCAGAAGCAAAAGUGUCUUGUCGUUUUCACAUGCUCUGCCCUCAAUUCAACUUUAUCAAGAAACAACUAUCACGCUGCUGCAAUUCAAAUUUCAAAUUCAAAUCACACACUCUCUCUCUCUCCCUCUUCUUUCACGUUCUUUAACAUUCUUUAACAUUGCUUUCACCUUCAUUCAACAUUCAUUUCUUCGUCCGUUUCUCUGCUUCAUCUCCCAGAAUCUAGAUUCACUUCCAUCGCAAUCUUCAGGUUCUUAACACACCAAUCCAACGAAAGCUACUACUUAAAGGUGGUGUAGCAGAUUGUGCAUAUUGGAAGGAUAAUUCUCUGUGCCAUAAUUUAGAUGCCAAAAGAUUUGUAGACUAUUUGGCUACUUUGGUCCUCUAAAUGAAGUUUUCGUGCCUCAUGAUUAUUAUAUUAGGUUAUUGGUAAAACAUUGGUCCUUGAUGAGAUAAUCAAUUAUACUCAAUCAUAUCACCACCAACAGCAAAGCUUUUGAUAAAUGGUUGCAUAAAAGGGUUGAAAGUGAUAUAAUGCUUCCAAAAAGGUUGUUGGAGAGUCUUUCACAUGAAGUCACAAAACCUUAUGAAGAUACUUUUGUAUGGAUUUGAUGUAUAAGCAUGGAGAAAGGUUUCUUCAACUUCUUCAAAUAGAAAGGUUUCAACUUGCUUCUCAAUCCCUUCCUUAUUUCAUCAUUUGAUUUCAUAUUCUGAUUUAUUUAUUUUUUUGGAAUGUUAUUGUUUGUUCAUUAGGUUCACAAAUUAGGGUUUCAUUGGGUAAGUUUUAUGAACUUUAAUUGAUUGUAUUUGAGUAGUAUUUAGCUGAACUUUAAUUUGAGUAUGUGAUAGAGUAUAGUGCUAAUUAAAUUUGAGUAAGUUUCUUGGAGUAUGACAAAGAAGAAUGUGUCUCCGAAUGGCAAAAAUACAGAGCUUGUCUUUCUUAACAUUUGGAAGAUAGAAAAAUGAUUCAUAUAUUGGAAGGUGAAAAUGUUGUUCAAGAAGAUAGUGCUGUUGCUUCUCAGUAGCAUAUCACAUGUUUGCUGUAAUGACAGUGAUCAAUUUAGUAGCUUUCACUGCUCACUAGCAAUUUAUUAUCGUUCCUUCAAAUUUUCCAUAAUUUGUAACAUUGAGUUGUUUAAAUUAUAGAAUCAUAGAAACUUAGGGUCAACCUUGAUAUAGACUAUAGAGUAUUUUACUUUGACAUGAAUAGUUUUAAGAAUGGAACUAAGGUUAUGGACAGAGUUUAAUGUCCAUGCCUAAUUUUUAAUCAAGAUUGAGUCACUUACUCAUUGACAACCAAAAAAAAUAAGAUUUUCAAUUUUUUUUAUUGUAAAAGUGAGCACCGACAAAGUGUUUGACCAAAUGUCUCAAUAUGCAAAACUAUUGAAAAUAUUCCCUACUUAGAAUUUCUGUUGAAAAUAUUGUUGGUUAGUUGUCAUAUUUAUUAGGAUUUGUUUCUAUCUUUUAGUCAAUAAUCCCUACUUCUUAGGAGUUGUUAAUGGGAUUUAGAUGGUUUUCUCGGCACACCACUUUUUCAGAAUUCCAGAGUGUUGUUGAAUUGAUUCUGGGGCAUGAAUAAUGAAUUAUUGAUGAAAUCACUAGGAAUCUUUAGUCAAAUGGUUCUUGAGGUGUGACAGAGUUUUUCUAGGCAAGAUGCGGUUAAUUAAUCAGACCCAAUAGACACAGAGAAAGCGACAAGGGAUAAUAGUAGUGAUUUUCUUGAGUUUCAAAGAUCUAUUGGUUGAAUUGUUAAGAUCGAGACGUGGAAAAAGAAGGCUGGGGUCGCCUCUGUGGAAGCUCGAACUUGAAGCUUGAACAUCGACUAACUCGUGAGUUGAGGUGUGUAAGCUAGGAACUAAUUCUGAGUUGCUUAUAGAAUGAAAGUUCACCCAAUAAAGAUGGCAUUAUUUGUACGAUGGAAACCUCAAAGCGUUACAGGUUUAUGUAAAGUUAAGGUGAACGAUCAUAUCAACUCAAUUUGAGAAGUUGAUAUGUAAGUGAAUUUGACCAAUUUGAAUGUAGCAACUCAAUUUUGAUAUUGUUGUGGAAUUAGUAGUCAAGCUAAGAUACUGUUAUGGAAUUAUAGUUACUGUUAUUUAAAUGAUACAUGAAACUUCAAUUUGAAAAAGAUAGCAAAAAAAAACAGGUGUCAUCCUCUAAGAUAGUCCACAUUGGAUUUGAAGUUUCAUGUCUAGACAAAAUUUUAACCUCAUUUAGGCAAUGUUUUCAAAUUUGAUAAUGGAGGGAAAAAAUGAUGAACAAAUGAUCAAAGGGCCAGCAAACUGGAUCGAAAAUGCAAGGCCCGGUCCAAAAAGCCCACAUGGAUGGCAAGCAAACAAAAUCUGGUCAGAAGCAAAAGUGUCUUGUCGUUUUCACAUGCUCUGCCCUCAAUUCAACUUUAUCAAGAAACAACUAUCACGCUGCUGCAAUUCAAAUUUCAAAUUCAAAUCACACACUCUCUCUCUCUCCCUCUUCUUUCACGUUCUUUAACAUUCUUUAACAUUGCUUUCACCUUCAUUCAACAUUCAUUUCUUCGUCCGUUUCUCUGCUUCAUCUCCCAGAAUCUAGAUUCACUUCCAUCGCAAUCUUCAGGUUCUUAACACACCAAUCCAACGAAAGCUACUACUUAAAGGUGGUGUAGCAGAUUGUGCAUAUUGGAAGGAUAAUUCUCUGUGCCAUAAUUUAGAUGCCAAAAGAUUUGUAGACUAUUUGGCUACUUUGGUCCUCUAAAUGAAGUUUUCGUGCCUCAUGAUUAUUAUAUUAGGUUAUUGGUAAAACAUUGGUCCUUGAUGAGAUAAUCAAUUAUACUCAAUCAUAUCACCACCAAGUAGAGCUGUGAAUUCUUUAUCUAAUGUUGUAAUUCUUUGUGAAAAUAUGAAUGUUUGAUAAACUAUCUGAUAUGUUUGAUUCACAAUAAUUUAUAGCAGCAAAGCUUUUGAUAAAUGGUUGCAUAAAAGGGUUGAAAGUGAUAUAAUGCUUCCAAAAAGGUUGUUGGAGAGUCUUUCACAUGAAGUCACAAAACCUUAUGAAGAUACUUUUGUAUGGAUUUGAUGUAUAAGCAUGGAGAAAGGUUUCUUCAACUUCUUCAAAUAGAAAGGUUUCAACUUGCUUCUCAAUCCCUUCCUUAUUUCAUCAUUUGAUUUCAUAUUCUGAUUUAUUUAUUUUUUUGGAAUGUUAUUGUUUGUUCAUUAGGUUCACAAAUUAGGGUUUCAUUGGGUAAGUUUUAUGAACUUUAAUUGAUUGUAUUUGAGUAGUAUUUAGCUGAACUUUAAUUUGAGUAUGUGAUAGAGUAUAGUGCUAAUUAAAUUUGAGUAAGUUUCUUGGAGUAUGACAAAGAAGAAUGUGUCUCCGAAUGGCAAAAAUACAGAGCUUGUCUUUCUUAACAUUUGGAAGAUAGAAAAAUGAUUCAUAUAUUGGAAGGUGAAAAUGUUGUUCAAGAAGAUAGUGCUGUUGCUUCUCAGUAGCAUAUCACAUGUUUGCUGUAAUGACAGUGAUCAAUUUAGUAGCUUUCACUGCUCACUAGCAAUUUAUUAUCGUUCCUUCAAAUUUUCCAUAAUUUGUAACAUUGAGUUGUUUAAAUUAUAGAAUCAUAGAAACUUAGGGUCAACCUUGAUAUAGACUAUAGAGUAUUUUACUUUGACAUGAAUAGUUUUAAGAAUGGAACUAAGGUUAUGGACAGAGUUUAAUGUCCAUGCCUAAUUUUUAAUCAAGAUUGAGUCACUUACUCAUUGACAACCAAAAAAAAUAAGAUUUUCAAUUUUUUUUAUUGUAAAAGUGAGCACCGACAAAGUGUUUGACCAAAUGUCUCAAUAUGCAAAACUAUUGAAAAUAUUCCCUACUUAGAAUUUCUGUUGAAAAUAUUGUUGGUUAGUUGUCAUAUUUAUUAGGAUUUGUUUCUAUCUUUUAGUCAAUAAUCCCUACUUCUUAGGAGUUGUUAAUGGGAUUUAGAUGGUUUUCUCGGCACACCACUUUUUCAGAAUUCCAGGUUUAGUUAGAUUUUAUAAUAAUGGUUAAUUUUUUUUUUCAAUCUUUUUUUUUCCAGUGUGAUGUAUAUAGUAUAUUCUUAUCAUUAUACUGAUGUAUGUUCUUAUCAUAAUAUUUUUCAUUACAUGGUUAAUUUUGUGUUUAUUUGUGAAAUAAAGAUUUACAGUAUAUGUUUAUUUGUGUUAAUUUUGAUAUACUAGAUGUAACUAUCGAUUCAUUAGCUAUGGUUGUUAUAUGUUUCUGAGAAGAAUUUGAUUUUCAGAGUGUUGUUGAAUUGAUUCUGGGGCAUGAAUAAUGAAUUAUUGAUGAAAUCACUAGGAAUCUUUAGUCAAAUGGUUCUUGAGGUGUGACAGAGUUUUUCUAGGCAAGAUGCGGUUAAUUAAUCAGACCCAAUAGACACAGAGAAAGCGACAAGGGAUAAUAGUAGUGAUUUUCUUGAGUUUCAAAGAUCUAUUGGUUGAAUUGUUAAGAUCGAGACGUGGAAAAAGAAGGCUGGGGUCGCCUCUGUGGAAGCUCGAACUUGAAGCUUGAACAUCGACUAACUCGUGAGUUGAGGUGUGUAAGCUAGGAACUAAUUCUGAGUUGCUUAUAGAAUGAAAGUUCACCCAAUAAAGAUGGCAUUAUUUGUACGAUGGAAACCUCAAAGCGUUACAGGUUUAUGUAAAGUUAAGGUGAACGAUCAUAUCAACUCAAUUUGAGAAGUUGAUAUAAUAUUGAUUUGGUUAUGCAUCUCUAAAGCUAUUUGGUUAUGCAGAAAUACUAAAUUUGUUGGUUCGUCAGAGGUAUAUUUUAUUCUAUAAUACCACAACUACAUCAGAGGUAUAAUCAAUCACUCCAUUUUUUUUUCAUCAUGAAAUGAUCAUCACUUCUUUCAUUUUGUUCUUUGUUUUCAUAUAUAACUUAAAAUUAAAGGUACUAUUUGAUACAACUACAUCUAAUGUAGCACAAACACUUCAUUGUGGAUAGUGUUUUUGUGAUGCCUCUGUCACCGUAUAAGUAGACCACUUAUAGUUUGAUACUUUUAAUUACUUUUAGUUUGAUUUAGAUAGAAAGGAUUAUUGUCAUUAUUUGAAUUCCUUACUUUAGUGAGAGUUGGUGAGGUACAUAGCUUUGAUUGCAUUUUUCCUUUCUUCCAGAUUCUCCUAUAGAUCGUUUGUCGCCGACAGAGUAGACCACCGAUUUUUGUUUUUUUGUUUCAGUUUCUUUGGCUUUAUUUUUUUGGUCUUAUAUAUCAUUCAAUUGUGGUAUUAUUUUUUUAUGAUUUUCUAUACUAUCAUUUGUAUGCAAUUAGUGAAAGAAUUAGUGAAAAUAGAUAAUUUGUUAGCUUUUACAUCACCAACUUUAAGAAAUUUUAUAAAAAUGGUGUCUUCUUCAUCAUAUUUUUUUAAAUGAUUUAUUUAAAUUUUUGCAAAAACUGUAUGAAAUCAACUAUAAUACUCUAUUUGCACUUUGCAGGCCAAAAGAUUUGUAGACUAUUUGACUACUUUGGUCCUCUAAAUGAAGUUUACGUGCCUCAUGAUUAUUAUAUUAGGUUGCAGGUUUGAGUUCAAAGGAUGGUAACUAAGAAUAUGAUGGAGCAAAAUUAACAUGUUUCCUUUGAGCACAUGUAUUAUUUUUUUUUAUCAGGUAAGACAUAGUAGUAGAAGUGGUGGAAGGUGAUGCUAGAAAUGUUCUCUGUGAUGCUGUGGAGAAGCACCAUGCUUCAAUAUUGGUUCUUGGUAGUCAUGGUUAUGGAGCUAUAAAAAGGGCGGUAUUAGGUAGUCUAAGGACUACUGUGCUCAUCAUGCUCAUUGCACUGCGAUGAUUGUGAAGAAGCCAAAAACCAAACACUGAUCUCAUUGGCUGCGUGCGUCUAAAUUGUCCUACAACAAUCAGAAUAUAUAUAUUUUCAGCAAAAGGAAACAUGUUUGUUCCAUGUCAUAUUGACUCUAUAGAAUAAGGUUCAUUUCACAUUUUAUUAUGUUUUAAAUACUAAAAUUAGAACAGGAUUUCUCCCUGUCCCAGCCAGUAGUCACCCUGGUACUUAUUUUGAUUAUGAUCAGAUUUUGUAAAUGUGACAGUUCUAUGCAUAAACGAAUAAGAAUCAUAUGUAUGCCAUAAUUUUGUUCAUUCCUUAA